GGUUGCAAUCAUACCAGCACUAAUGCACUGGAUCCCAUCAGAACUCUGCAGUUAAUCGUGCUUGGGCGAGAGUAGUACUAGGAUGGGUGACCCCCUGGGAAGUCCUCGUGUUGCAACCC
This 119-nucleotide ribosomal RNA is filed under the name Helianthus annuus (common sunflower). The record is from RNAcentral. Lineage: Eukaryota; Viridiplantae; Streptophyta; Magnoliopsida; Asterales; Asteraceae.